This 515-nucleotide ribosomal RNA is filed under the name uncultured bacterium. RNAcentral's name for it is "partial 16S ribosomal RNA". It matches the Rfam family "Bacterial small subunit ribosomal RNA", at positions 28 to 523 of the family's 1533-position model. The record is from RNAcentral.
GAUGAACGCUGGCGGCGUGCCUAAUACAUGCAAGUUGAGCGAAUGGAUUAAGAGCUUGCUCUUAUGAAGUUAGCGGCGGACGGGUGAGUAACACGUGGGUAACCUGCCCAUAAGACUGGGAUAACUCCGGGAAACCGGGGCUAAUACCGGAUAACAUUUUGAACCGCAUGGUUCGAAAUUGAAAGGCGGCUUCGGCUGUCACUUAUGGAUGGACCCGCGUCGCAUUAGCUAGUUGGUGAGGUAACGGCUCACCAAGGCAACGGUGCGUAGCCGACCUGGGAGGGUGAUCGGCCACACUGGGACUGAGACACGGCCCAGACUCCUACGGGAGGCAGCAGUAGGGAAUCUUCCGCAAUGGACGAAAGUCUGACGGAGCAACGCCGCGUGAGUGAUGAAGGCUUUCGGGUCGUAAAACUCUGUUGUUAGGGAAGAACAAGUGCUAGUUGAAUAAGCUGGCACCUUGACGGUACCUAACCAGAAAGCCACGGCUAACUACGUGCCAGCCGCCGCAGUAA